Long non-coding RNA from Dermacentor andersoni, 2606 nucleotides. RefSeq lists it as uncharacterized. NCBI's taxonomy places the organism in Eukaryota, Metazoa, Arthropoda, Arachnida, Ixodida, Ixodidae. The record is from RefSeq and is a predicted model, not a curated record.
CCAACUUGGCACUCCCGUGCAUUACAUCCACUUGGCUAUCGUACUCCAGGCGGAUUUCUGCCGUCGCCGUGAGGUUCGGUAUGAGUGAAAGCGUGUGAGGGCAUCUCCUGCUCUGUCUUUCUACGUUGAAGGCACAGCGUUAUUUGGGUGCUAUGGUGGGGAGUGGCUCCUGUGAGAAUGCCACGCAGCUCUUCGGCAGCAGGAAAUUCAGCUAGAAGUGCAGCGGCCACACUUCACAAGAAGAGAAUUGCUGCCAUGUGCUUCCGCUCCUUUUUUUUCCUUUCAUCAGCACAAGCUCAAACUCGGACAGCAUCUCAAUAAGCUAUUACAUUAGUUGUGACAGCUGUGAUGCAGCGACAUGUUUCCUGUGCCUAAAACUAGUUUGCUGGAUGAGCUUAGUGUUACUGGUUUGUGUGUGCAAUUGAAAAAAAUACCCUUACAUUCAGAUAUACGUAUAUAAUCAAGAGUCCAAGCUACUACUUUACAUGCUCUAAACAGGCACUGUACUCGCAACAUGGAGUUUAUCGUAGAUAUCACUGAAUGGAACAAGAAAUUGUGGUUUUAUUGCGAUAGAAAUUAUAUGGACACUCCAGGCGCAUUUCUGCCAUUGCCGUCGCCGUGAGGUUACGUAAAGUCCAAGGGCAACAAAAUCGUCGCCAUGCGCUGAUGCUGUAUGUGCGAGCGAAAGCAUACAAGGGUGAGCCGGCGAACGCGGCUCAAAUUUGCAUGUGCGAGCGAGGAAGGCAGGCCAGAAGCACGCCCUUAUAAAAACUAGGAACUUUAGUUGUACUGAUCUCGGUAUGUAUUUGAUGGCAUUUUACGUUCUUUGAAAAUUAAAACAAUCAUCUUGCUUGUUAAAUAGGAAAAAAACAUUCCUGCGCAUAGUACGCUGGCAUGCAGCACCUACAUAUAGAGUCUUGGAAACAAUUCUUCACUUCUCUGGCUUUAGAACUGAUGCAAGGCUAUUCCUCCAGUGCAGAAUUAGUGCAUGGUCCUCAUAAUUGGUAAACUCCUGUUCAAAGAUUUUACCAUCCUGAAUACUAUUAAGAGUGAUAAACGUUUGCUUCUCGAACCUGGAAAGAAGCAGUGGACAUGAUAUAAGUAUGUCACCUUCACAAGUGGCACAAUUGUGCUGGAUUCAUAAAUUUGUAACUGCCACUGAUGUCGCUAUAAAGGCAGUUUUUAAUUUAUAUACCACAAUGAAUGCGCCACAGUUCCACUCUAAAAUGGCUGUAGCAGCAUACAACGUGCGCUGCUUUCAACAGGCCUGUGAUCAAAGUGCAACGUUUGUCAUCAUGAAGCAGAACACGCCCAGUAGAUGGCACAUCUAACUUUUCUUAAUGCUCCAGGCUCUUUACAGUUGUUUGCUUUAUAAAACAUUAAUAAGCCCAAAAUUAGAAUAUGCUACAUCAGCAACAGUAUGAUACCCAUAACAUAAGCUUAACACAUUAGAACUACAGUCGAACAGCCGGAAUUUUUUAACAGCACGACAGAAUAUGUACCAACCAGCCUAAAUGGUCUCACUGCUGAUAUUACAAUUAGUUCAAAAUAAGUCUGCUGGUUUUAUUAAGGCGAAAGCCUUUCUAGGCUCAUGGUGAAGUUGUAUUGAACUCAGCAUUUUAUGUAAUACAUAAACAAAAAGCAGAAUGAAUGCACUUUUCACGCAUAACAGUUUAAUUAACGAGAUGUCUGUCAUAAAAAUGAUAUAAAUUGCCAGAAUAAAGUGUGCCUCUUCUACACAUAGGAAAGUAUAAAUUGCUCUGACGUUUACGACAAUAACGGCAGAUAUAGCAAUAAAAUUUUUCACUGAACAUGUAUUCUACUUAACAAUUUAAGAGCAAGCACUAUAGUUUGGUGCGCCGGGCUGCGGCCGCCGAUGUUCCAGGCUGGCUUGCGCCGUCGUCGCUCUCAGAGUCAAAGUCUGACGAAAAGACCGCACCCUCAAACUUGCUGCUGCUCGAUCCAUAGAUAAGACCAGCUGCAAACACAGCGGAAUAGCUAGAUCUGCCAUCUUUCGAAGUGGGCGCGCCGCUGCCAGAGGCGGCCAUGUUUGCUUUCUGCUCUAACGAUCACGAAAAUUCAGAGUGCGUUAAGAAAUUAACGCCUUGUGGGCAAAAAGCGAACUGCUUAGAAAACAAAAAUAUAGUUGUCCUCCUUCACGACCUAUGGUGCAGUGUGUCCAUGAGCAGCGUAGAAGGUCUCGAAAGCGGCGUUUCAAACCACUGAUAGCGGGCGGCCAUUUUUGCUUUAAUCCAUAAUCUAAAAACUUUAGAGCGCGUUCAAAAAUCACUGCCUGGGGCGAAAAAGCGAAUUGCUUAGAAAACAAAAGAAUAGGACUCCUAUUUUACAUUCGAUAGCGCAGUGUCUCCGUGGGCAGCACGUAGUCUCGAAACUGGUGUUUCAAACCAUUGUUAGCAGGCUAAUGAUGUCCAAUGGGCAUGGUACGUAGAGCUAAAUAGCAAUAUUAUGAACUUGUAACAGAUCAGCCAUUUUAGUGGUUUAUUUUCUUCUUUGUUCUGCAUCAACUUUUAUUUUUAAAAGAUUUUUUUAAACAUUUCUCUAAAUUUCUCUUAUGUGACAAUAAACCUCCAAGAAGUAGAGUGGUA